GAUGAACGCUGGCGGCGUGCUUUACACAUGCAAGUCGGACGGGAAGUGCUUUUUCCAGUGGCGGACGGGUGAGUAACACGUAAGAACCUGCCCUGGGGAGCGUGACAACAGCUGGAAGCGGCUUCUAAUACACCGUAGGCUGAGGAGCGAAAGAACGAAUCCGGCGAAGGAGGGGCUCGCGUCUGAUUGGCUAGUUGGUGAGGUAAUAGCUUACCCAGGCUGUGAUCAGUGGGUGGUCCGAGAGGAUGAUCAGCCACACGGGGGCGGAGAGGAGCACACGACUCCUAGGGGAAGCAGCGGGGGGGAAUGUUCAGCAGGGGGAGGCCGCAUGAAGGAACACUGCCGGGUGGAGGUAAACGGCCGACGGGUAAUGAGCUUCUUUUCCUGGAGAAGAAACAAUGACGGUAUCUGGUAAAGAAGCAUCGGCUAACUAUGUG
This 437-nucleotide ribosomal RNA is filed under the name uncultured bacterium. RNAcentral's name for it is "partial 16S ribosomal RNA". It matches the Rfam family "Bacterial small subunit ribosomal RNA", at positions 28 to 507 of the family's 1533-position model. The record is from RNAcentral.